AGUUAAGAAAAAAUUCUAAUAAAUACAUUAAUUAAGAAAAAAUUUUUCUCAAUAUAAUAGUUUUUCAAUAAAAAUAUUUUAAAAUUGGCAAAUGAGAUUACAAAAUUUGCACACUCAGAUAUAGCAUAUCACACAGUAAUAUAAGUAAAUUUUAAAUAUGAUUCGUAUUUUUCACACAUAAAAUCUACUCUUAAAUGUUAAUAUGGUUUUUUACGGGACCUGUAUGACUGCUAUGAUAAAAUGUCAAUGGAUUUUUUGGUCUGAAGAAAGUAUCCUUGUUUAUUUAACUAUUUCAAUGAAGAAGAUUAUAGUUACAAGAAAUAGUAGAGAGUAGAUAGUAGAGAGAGAGAGAGAGAGAGAGAGAGAGAGAGAGAGAGAGAGAGAAAUAACAAAUAUUUUUUCAUCAGUGAGAACACGAUUACAGUAUCGCGUUGGAUUAAGAAUUAAAUUUCCUAAAGACACUCACGAGUCCUUACUUAAUUCCUCUUUCGUGCCUUCUAUAACGACGAAUAACUCACUGAUAAGGUGAUACCAAGGAACCGCACCGGAAUAAAACGUUAAGACCGCGGUGGAGCGAAAAGCCGCGGCACUCAAGCUGCUGGAAUUAUCAUCGCUCGUAAGUCACGGCGCGAACAUUGCAACUGCAACUACAGUGCAGCAGCAUGGCAGUGCGCGCGGUUCGCGGGCGCAUCGGGGACGAGAUAACUCGUAUAAAUAACCCGGAAGUCCGCGGUGCACAAUAGUCCCCCUUUUUUUACGAGUAUGACUUUUGGGAGUUUCAAGGCUGCACGCUUGGGACGCCGCGUUGGUAAUCAGUUCGUUGUUACCAAAAUGCACUGAGCGAGUCAGAAAAAAAAGAAAAAAAGAAGCAUUGAACCCCUCCCUCUCUCUCUCUCUCUCUCUCUCUCUCUCUCUCUCUCUCUCUCUCUCUCUCUCUCUCUCCCCCUCACUCCACUUCUCUCCAUUCAUUUCUAGGCACAAUCGCGAAUUUUUGCGGCGUCCUAGAUUGUACAUCGAAUAUUUAAUUCGUGCCGCAAACCGCACGGGAAACCGCCGGGCUCUCUCCCGUUCCCAAAAUCGCUCCAGUAUCACAGUCACCCGAUACCCAAAUCGAACCAUUACGUCCGACAUUCCGCGCAGCGAGAAUGUUAUCGAGUGAUACGCCUGUUACGAAUGUAAAAUCGUAAUAUUCUUGCAUCAUUUACUCUGGGCGGUGAUGUUUCAGUUUCGCGCGUGCGUAUGCAGAACGUGAUAAAUAAAUUUGCCACAAUUAAAAAACGAAUUCGCCGCGUCCGAUGACGUAGCCUGACACGACGUACGGCACGAAAUAUAAAAUAAAAAUUUCAGACGAGAUAUAAAAGUUUUUUUUUUAUGGAAAAACAAACUUUACGAGAUUCCACUCUGUACAUGAAAUGGGAUACGGAAAAUUUAACAAAAAAAAAAAAAAAAAUAGAUUUUUCUUUGCAAGAAAUAAUCAUUGUAGUUCUCUUUUUGGAGGAAAAGGGGUAAAAAUGUGAACGCAAUGUAACUCUCUGCACUUGUUAAUUUCUACUUGUCAGGUAUUUAUUAUUUUAUUACCUUCGAAUGCAAAAUUAAUCCCGCUACACUUUAUGUAGCAAUAUAUGUUAAAGCAAUGUAUGCAUUUUUGCGUUUUUCGCGAAUUUCCAUUCGGAGCGUAUGCACAAUGUUAUGAUACACCCCCACUAUUACAAAAUACAAAAAUUCUUUUAACGCGGACAACGUGAAUUCUUUUUCUGCGUGAUUCCACGUGGAGAGGGAGGGGAAGAGAAAAGGACAAUAUGUAAUUUGUAUGAAAAAAUGCAACCGCAAUUUUUAUACGAUGCGUCAUACAUUAAACGCGCCAUCGGUCGGUCAGAUAUUACGCGUAAAUACUGGAGAUCGAUUGUAUAACCGCGACGUCCAGCAUUAUUUUCCACUUGCACUCGCGCACUCGACUGUCGUAUUGUGUGCACGCGUAUACAUACGUACGUACGUACACAUAUAUGCGUAUGUAUAUGAAUUUUGGGAAUUCGACGGACGACGGGCAAAGCUGUUGGGAACCGGUUUUGGUUUUGUAUUAGCAUGUAACUCCGGCAGGAGUUGAAGUUGCGAUGGCUUGUGGGUGGCCGGGCGGCGGCAGGGAGGGUAAUUACCUCCUUGGGGAGCGCCCUCUCCACGGCGUAGCCCGGUAUAGCCCCAGCACGGGUACAGAGGCUUCCCACUGCUCCCAGUGGUCCCGCGGGAUCGCACCAGCGGUUCUCAUGCUCGCGGUUCUCAUUUCGCCAGAAUUGGAUCUUGUCAGCCCGGAGGACAGCGACGAGAAAAAGAUGCUCAUAACACUCAAAUGGAGUGUCGAAUGUACUUUGUGCGUAUCUAACAUCAAAGACAAAAUAUAUAGAUGCUUAGAGAUACUAACUGCAAUAUCAAGAGACACGGUAGUGGCUCGCGCCAAGUGAAAGCGUAGCGUGAGCCCGACCGUGCUCUUUUACGCGAGUACGCGACUUGCGAGCAUCCGAGAUUAUCAGAUCUCAGAAACGGCUAAACCGAUCGAGUUCUAACUAGACUCAAUCGAAAGCUUAGGGUCGAUUUGUAUCAGAAAAGUGUUUUUAUUUUUCCUCUAUGUACUUUAUGAGAGGAGAUUAUCACGACGCAAAGUCCGAAAAGCCAAAAUUUCAUUUAAGAUACGUCGUCGUCAUUAUUAUCAUCGUCAACAUUGUGGGUAUCUUUGCGGGUAGUGCGGGUGCCGAAAAUGAGGGACGAAAUUCCAUCUCGCGCAUCUGCUACCAUGCGGCGUUCGCAUCGUCACUAUAGCACCAUGUAUGGCAAUAUUUUAUUUUUAUUUAUUUUUUAUAAGUCACGAUGAGAUGUUGCAUAAUGUAAAAUGUGUAUUAUUGCUGUAAUUGUCAACAAUGAUAAUGUCGUAAGGAUAAAGUAAAGAAUAAUAUUAUUAAAAAUAGUAUUAUUAAAUCAUUCAUUUGAAAUUUUAUUAAAUUUAAUUAGUAGUUAUUAAUAUUGAUUUUGAUUGAUUUGACAAUUACAGCAACAUUUAACCAAUACACAAUUCUUCUACAUGAUACAACAUCUCAUCUCUCAUUGACACUAAUAUAAAAUCAGAGAACUAUUUUAUUAAUUUUACAUUGUUUUAAUGUAAGUUGCUCGGAUCAGAAUUCAGCUUGUGUCAAGUGACAUGUGUAGUGGAGGUUAAAUCGUUUAUUUAUCGAAAUAGAUGAGAUGUUGCGUGAUGUAAAUUAUUGCUGUAAUUGUCAAUCAAUGAUAAUGUUGUAAGGAUAAGAAUUUUAAUAAACAUGUGGGUCGGCAGUAACUCGUUCACGCUACGCGCCAGCUUUCAUCAAGGGUGCGUUUUUAAAUUCGCAACGGAUGCACUGGAGUGUCAUCCUAUCUUUGUUCAACUUUCCGUAAGUAACAAAGAUGGAAUGACAUUCUGGUGUAUCUGGCAGCAUCCGUUGCGAAUUUAAGAACGCAUCCCAAAUGACGUGUAGUGUUAAUAAAAUAAUGUCAACUGUUUCAAAAUUGCUGUCUGUACUGAUACAUACAUUAUAGAUAGAUUUUCAGUACUGAGAGCAAUUUUGAAACAUAGUCUUUAUUGUGCUUUAAUUUAAUUUAUAAUCAUGUUAAUAGAUAAAAACUCGGGGUGACGGAGAGUAGGAGAGAGAGAGAAGAGAAAGAGAGAGAGAGAGAGAGAGAGAGAGAGAGAGAGAGAAAGAGAAUUAUAUGUGUCUUUUCUGAACACAGCGCAUUAUCACCGAUAGCUCAGUGAACAGCAAUUCAUUAUUUAAUGAUUUUUCAGUGGAAACUCAGGAUGAGAGAGACAAAGAGCAGGAGAGAAAGAGAGAAGGAAUUAUAUAUGUGAUCUAAACCAGCGAAACAUGAAUGAUGACAGUAUAUUACCAUCGAUAGCUCAGUGGAGAUAUUAUUAUUUAAUGAUUCUUUAGGCAAGUCGCACAU
Molecule: long non-coding RNA, 3966 nt
Organism: Monomorium pharaonis (pharaoh ant)
Lineage: Eukaryota; Metazoa; Arthropoda; Insecta; Hymenoptera; Formicidae
Exons: 2
Source: RefSeq, a predicted model, not a curated record